Molecule: RNA transcript, 1499 nt
Organism: Chelonus insularis
Lineage: Eukaryota; Metazoa; Arthropoda; Insecta; Hymenoptera; Braconidae
Gene: l(3)87Df
Gene name: lethal (3) 87Df
Exons: 3
Source: RefSeq, a predicted model, not a curated record
GCAUAUAAACUUCAAUAAAAAUGUUAAUUGCAUAUAUGGUAAUGUGAGUAGAUAAAUUUGCCGCCAAGAAUACUGUAGUUAAAGGCAAGUUUUCAAUGUCAGCAGCUACUGUUCCAUGAAAACAAUCAAAUCCACAUGAUAAAAAUGAAUCCAAGAGAAGCUGAUCUAGAUCAAAGUCUAGAGGAGAAAAAAGUGAUAAUAUUUGGAAAAGAUGUUGCUAAAAUUCCAUGCUUUAGAACGAGUUGGUUAUAUGGUAUUACUGGUGGAAUUGGCAUGGGAGUACUGACAUUUAUGUUUACAAGUAGAAUUAGAUUAGCAGGACAUGUGACGAUGGGAUCAAUAUGUGGUAUUACAUUAGUAACUUUCUCAGUUUGUCGUUAUCAAUAUACUAAAGAUGAAUAUUUAGCAAGUCAAGUGAGAAGUUUAAUAAACGAAUCAAGGUUAUUGGUGGAUGUCGAUCACGAAGCAGUAAUUAAAGAAACACAACGUAUUCUCAACAGGGAUGACUAAAACUAUUAAAAAAAAAUAUCUACUUAAAAAUUUAGUCAAAUUAUCAAUUGUUUUAAUACACAAAUCAUUAUAAACAUGUGAAAUAGUAAAGAAAAUUUUCUUAAAGCAAUUUGCUAUGAAUAAUAUGUGCACUUGGGAAAUUGUACAAAAUAUCAUUAAUUAUUUUAAUGAGAAAAUGAAUGAUGUUGGAAGAUAAGAAGUAUGAUAAUAAUUUUAUUAGCAGAAACGCUUUAAAUAAAAUGUUACUGCUUUAUGUAAAUAAUCGACAACUAUCAAGCCCUUCUCUAUGUUUGAUUUGAAAAUUUUCGAAAUAUUUCUCAAUAAAAUAUUUUAUUGUAAAAUUAUGAAAAUUUCAGAAAGGUUAAGGGAACGUUAAAGUAUUUUAUGACUAAACCAUCAAAUUAUUCAAAUUAUCAAGAGGAUACCGAUUGAUUGAAGGACAAUAUGAGAUGACUAUUCAGAAGUUUGAAGUAUCUAACAACUAUUGAGUUAGAUUAAAUAGAGGAAAAUUGGUAAUAUAUUUUAUUCAUCCAGAACAAAGACUCAUUGACAGAUGAUUUCUUGAGAAGAUAAACAUCUUGCUUUCUAAAUAGUCGGACGAUUUCAUAUCUUGGCAGUAAUACCUUUUGGCGCCUUGAGGCACUAAUUCUUUUUCAAUCGAUUAUUGAAAACAAACUUGUGGGCUUUUAAUUUGGCUGCUUUAAAGGUUCGCGUGCGGUAACGCGAACCCAUUAAGUGCCUCCAUCUCAAUGUCGCUUGUUACGCGAGGCGUGUUGUCAGAAAAUUUCUCUCCGGAUACAGUGGACUUUCACCGAAUUCACUAUCUCCCCAUACGAGUUAAUCGUUCAGGAGAUGAACAUAAGGCGUCACAGAUUUUAAUGCAAAAACACCGCGGACUUGUAUUUCAUCUCAGAGUCAAAAAAAAUUCAUUUUUGCAAAUAAUGAGCAAUGUCUGGCCUUUCGGGGCAAUAAAUUAUUUUUAAAAAAUA